This 496-nucleotide ribosomal RNA is filed under the name uncultured bacterium. RNAcentral's name for it is "partial 16S ribosomal RNA". It matches the Rfam family "Bacterial small subunit ribosomal RNA", at positions 28 to 506 of the family's 1533-position model. The record is from RNAcentral.
GAUGAACGCUGGCGGCGUGCCUAAUACAUGCAAGUCGAGCGAACGGACGAGAAGCUUGCUUCUCUGAUGUUAGCGGCGGACGGGUGAGUAACACGUGGAUAACCUACCUAUAAGACUGGGAUAACUUCGGGAAACCGGAGCUAAUACCGGAUAAUAUUUUGAACCGCAUGGUUCAAAAGUGAAAGGCGGUCUUGCUGUCACUUAUAGAUGGAUCCGCGCUGCAUUAGCUAGUUGGUAAGGUAACGGCUUACCAAGGCAACGAUGCAUAGCCGACCUGAGAGGGGAGUCGCCCACACGGGACAUGAGAAACGGUCCAGACCCCAAGGGGGGGCAGAAGUAGGGAAUCUCCCGAAAGGGGCGAAAGCCUGCCGGAGCAACGCCGGGUGGGUGAGGAAGGGCUUCGGAUCGUAAAACGUUGUUUUUAGGGAAAAACAUAUGGGUAAGUAACGGGCAACAUUUUGGCGGUACCAAACCAAAAAGCCCCGGCAAACCACGU